Molecule: non-coding RNA, 87 nt
Filed under: Enterobacterales bacterium 8AC
Lineage: Bacteria; Pseudomonadati; Pseudomonadota; Gammaproteobacteria; Enterobacterales
Source: RNAcentral
GUCUAUGGUAGUCCGGGCAGGGCUUCCGAAAGGAAGGCCGGUAUCCGUUGGGGCCGGUACGCCAACCCUGUUCGGGCUACCACCCAA